Molecule: non-coding RNA, 22 nt
Filed under: Arabidopsis thaliana (thale cress)
Lineage: Eukaryota; Viridiplantae; Streptophyta; Magnoliopsida; Brassicales; Brassicaceae
Source: RNAcentral
GGGUUGCCAAUGUGGUAUCUCA